This 310-nucleotide non-coding RNA is filed under the name Chlorella variabilis. Lineage: Eukaryota; Viridiplantae; Chlorophyta; Trebouxiophyceae; Chlorellales; Chlorellaceae. The record is from RNAcentral.
CCUGCCCAGGCCUUUUGUUCCCCCUGCCACGCCAGGGCUGACCACUCCACAGCUCUUCAACCCUAAAUAAUCGGUGCUCGCCUCCCCAGGCGUUCAAACCCCCGCCCCAGGGCUUCCUCAACGUAUUCCCCUUGCUGACCUCAGCAGAAGCAACACUUGCCGCAGUGCGGUACAUAUGCCUCUCCCCCGUCCCGCCGCCUCCGAGGGUGAGCAGGCGUGGGCCCCCGUCCCCAAGCGCCGGACCCACGAGCAGUCUCGCCAACUCGCUCCCUGCCCAGUUCCGGGAGGCGGCCCAGGGGUGCUGCAUUUU